GUGCCAGCCGCCGCGGUAAGACGAACCGUGCGAACGUUGUUCGGAAUCACUGGGCUUAAAGGGCGCGUAGGCGGUUUGCCAAGUCAGGGGUGAAAUCCUGCAGCUCAACUGUAGAAGUGCCCUUGAUACUGGCGAACUCGAGGGAGGUAGGGGUGCGUGGAACUUCUGGUGGAGCGGUGAAAUGCGUUGAUAUCAGAAGGAACGCAGGUGGCGAAAGCGACGCACUGGACCUCUUCUAACGCUGAGGCGCGAAAGCUAGGGGAGCAAACGGGAUUAGAUACCCCUGUAGUCC
This 292-nucleotide ribosomal RNA is filed under the name uncultured bacterium. RNAcentral's name for it is "partial 16S ribosomal RNA". It matches the Rfam family "Bacterial small subunit ribosomal RNA", at positions 505 to 796 of the family's 1533-position model. The record is from RNAcentral.